GUUCACUGCCGGAUAGGCAGCCAAGGAA
RNAcentral lists this non-coding RNA (28 nucleotides) under Thiocystis violascens DSM 198. Lineage: Bacteria; Pseudomonadati; Pseudomonadota; Gammaproteobacteria; Chromatiales; Chromatiaceae. The record is from RNAcentral.